UACGGAAGGUCCGGGCGUUAUCCGGAUUUACUGGGCGUAAAGGGCGUGUAGGCGGUCUUGCAAGUCAGAAGUGGAAUUCCUGAGCUCAACUCGGGCGCUGCUUCUGAAACUGCAGGACUUGAGUGCUGGAGGGGAUAGCGGAAUUCCUAGUGGAGCGGUAAAAUGCGCAGAUAUUAGGAAGAACACCGGUGGCGAAGGCGGCUAUCUGGACAGUAACUGACGCUGAGGCGCGAAAGCGUGGGGAGCAAAC
Molecule: ribosomal RNA, 250 nt
Filed under: uncultured prokaryote
Description: partial 16S ribosomal RNA
Rfam family: Bacterial small subunit ribosomal RNA
Source: RNAcentral